UCACUGGCACAGCCUACUUGCCUGGGGAGAGAUGUCCCAGAACAAAGCACCAGGUUGGAUAAUCAACUUGCCAAGAUGCUAACUAAACACCUUCAGAUGUACCAGGUAGAAGGCCACAUGUUAUCAGCCCUCAAGAAAUGUCCUUGUUAUUAUAUUUUCUUUUAUUCUCCUUACCACAGCUCCAUGAAGAAGGUGUUGUCAAUGCUGGCUGCUUGCUAAGGAAAGUGACAUGCCGGUGACAUUUAAUUGGAGUCAAGAUCAUAACCAAGGAUCACUGGGCAAAAUUCCUGUGCUCUCUCCAUAUUGUGGGGUAGAGGAUGGGGGUAGAAACCAUGGCUGAGGACAAGCAAGCAGAAUGGAGCCAAGCUUAGGACUGGUCCAUGGCACAAAGAAGAGACGAGAGUUAGAUCAACCCUUAGUCUGGCUGUUGGAAGGAAGACUUGGAAACGUCAAGGGUCCAGAAGAGGAGGGCGGGGCAUUUCUGGGGAUGGUAGAAGCGGGGAGGGACCAGUGUUCCGAGCCCCGCCUCAUUUCUGUUGCCCCGGGAAACCCCGGGUUGUAACAAUAACCUGCUGACGCGCUCCUGGGAGGAAUCCUUUGAAGGCUGUGGGCGGGGCAGCCCCGCUGUGCACCAAUGGAAGCACUCGGGAUCCGCCCCUACGUUGCCCUCCCCGAGCCCGGCAGGGGGCGGGGCCGCGCCAGACGUUUCUCGCCUGCUCCCUAGAGGGCGCUGUGGCGUGCGGGGCUUCGGCGGGGUCGCCCUUAGCGGGAGCUCCACGCCCCCCACAGUCA
Molecule: long non-coding RNA, 792 nt
Filed under: Mus spicilegus (steppe mouse)
Lineage: Eukaryota; Metazoa; Chordata; Mammalia; Rodentia; Muridae
Description: lncRNA (ENSMSIG00000010411.1)
Source: RNAcentral